CUCUCUGGUUCCUGUCUCUCAGGGGUUUGUAGCUCAACAUUCUUUUUGGGACUGUCCUGAUUCUCCAGCAUCCUGGGAGUCUCUGCGGCGGUUCUAGUGAUCACAUUGAAGUGAAGACUUUCUGGUCAACGAAGGAGACCUUGGUCCACACAGACGUGCAGGUGUGUGUGACCCGGGG
Long non-coding RNA from Pteronotus mesoamericanus, 178 nucleotides. RefSeq lists it as uncharacterized. The record is from RefSeq and is a predicted model, not a curated record. The transcript is spliced from 2 exons. Lineage: Eukaryota; Metazoa; Chordata; Mammalia; Chiroptera; Mormoopidae.